Molecule: ribosomal RNA, 440 nt
Filed under: uncultured bacterium
Lineage: Bacteria
Description: bacterial SSU rRNA
Rfam family: Bacterial small subunit ribosomal RNA
Source: RNAcentral
CCUACGGGAUGCACCAGUGGGGAAUUUUCCGCAAUGGGCGAAAGCCUGAUCCAGCCAUGCCGCGUGAGUGAAGAAGGCCUUAGGGUUGUAAAGCUCUUUCACCGGUGAAGAUAAUGACGGUAACCGGAGAAGAAGCCCCGGCUAACUUCGUGCCAGCAGCCGCGGUAAUACGAAGGGGGCUAGCGUUGUUCGGAAUUACUGGGCGUAAAACGCGCGUAGGCGGAUAGAUAAGUCAGAGGUGAAAUCCCGGGGCUCAACCCCGGAAUUGCCUUUGAUACUGUUUAUCUUGAGUGCAGAAGAGGUAAGUGGAAUUCCGAGUGUAGAGGUGAAAUUCGUAGAUAUUCGGAGGAACACCAGUGGCGAAGGCGGCUUACUGGUCUGCGACUGACGCUGAGGCGCGAAAGCGUGGGGAGCAAACAGGAUUAGAUACCCGCGUAGUC